UCAGUCGACUCCUACGGGGAGGCAGGCAGUGGGGGAAUAUUGCACAAUGGGCGCAAGCCUGAUGCAGCCAUGCCGCGUGUGUGAAGAAGGCCUUCGGGUUGUUAAAGCACUUUCAGUCGUGAGGAAGGUAGUGUAGUUAAUAGCUGCAUUAUUUGACGUUUAGCGACAGAAGAAGCACCGGCUAACUCCGUGCCAGCAGCCGCGGUAAGUACGGAGGGUGCGAGCGUUAAUCGGAAAUUACUGGGCGUAAAGCGCAUGCAGGUGGUUUGUUAAGUCAGAUGUGAAAGCCCGGGGCGUCAACCUCGGAAUAGCAUUUGAAACUGGCAGACUAGAGUACUGUAGAGGGGGGUAGGAAUUUCAGGUGUAGCGGUGAAAUGCGUAGAGAUCUGAAGGAAUACCGGUGGCGAAGGCGGCCCCCUGGACAGAUACUGACACUCAGAUGCGAAAGCGUGGGGAGCAAACAGGAUUAGAUACCCUGGUAG
RNAcentral lists this ribosomal RNA (482 nucleotides) under uncultured bacterium. RNAcentral describes it as "bacterial SSU rRNA". It matches the Rfam family "Bacterial small subunit ribosomal RNA", at positions 328 to 793 of the family's 1533-position model. The record is from RNAcentral.